GGAGAGAUGGCUGAGUCUGGCUGAAGGCGCGCGACUCGAAAUCGUGUGAGGGCCUGCGCCCUCCGGGGGUUCGAAUCCCUCUCUCUCCGCCA
This 92-nucleotide transfer RNA is filed under the name Clostridiales bacterium. RNAcentral describes it as "tRNA-Ser". It matches the Rfam family "tRNA". From Rfam's summary of the family: Transfer RNA (tRNA) molecules are approximately 80 nucleotides in length. Their secondary structure includes four short double-helical elements and three loops (D, anti-codon, and T loops). The record is from RNAcentral. Lineage: Bacteria; Bacillati; Bacillota; Clostridia; Eubacteriales.